CACGUAGGGCGCGAGCGUUGUCCGGAAUUAUUGGGCGUAAAGAGCUCGUAGGCGGCUUGUCGCGUCGAAUGUGAAAACCUGCAGCUCAACUGCAGGCUUGCAUUCGAUACGGGCAGGCUCGAGUGUGGUAGGGGAGAUCGAAUUCCUGGUGUAGCGGUGAAAUGCGCAGAUAUCAGGAGGAACACCGGUGGCGAAGGCGGAUC
RNAcentral lists this ribosomal RNA (203 nucleotides) under uncultured bacterium. RNAcentral describes it as "partial 16S ribosomal RNA". It matches the Rfam family "Bacterial small subunit ribosomal RNA", at positions 524 to 727 of the family's 1533-position model. The record is from RNAcentral.